CCCCUCCCAUGUUUGUUCACAGAUUCAGCAAUUUGUCUUUUACUUUGGAGGUAAUGGCCAGUGGACUCCUAAAUAUUUCACUGUACUAGCAGGUCCUGAGUCUUUGUAGAGUUCAUCUUCCACCCUUUGGAGCAUGUAUCUAACCAAGGCUUCUAGCAUACUGGCCACCUCUUCCUCUUUUGUCCAGUCAUCAUGAUUUUAUUGAUGUGAUGAAUCAGGGUGGUGUUCUGAGGGACUCAUAGGUGAUUCAGACCUUUUCAGACAAAAUUAUGGCAAAGGGUAAGAGUGUUACCAUAGCCCCAAGACAAAAUCGGAGAUCAAUAUUAUUGUCUAUUUCAUCUGAAUUCAAACCUUUUCUGAUCUUCUUUCCUAAUUGGAAUGGAAAAGAAUAUGUUGUCCAAAUCAAUGGCUAAAAACUAGGUACCUGAAGUUUUAUUAAUCUGCUUAGCACAGUAUCACAUCUGGCACAGUAACUAUAAUCAUCAGGUUUACUACUUGAUUAAGUCUGUAAUAGUACACAGUUAUUCUCCAGGACCCAGCUGGUUUCUGCACGGACCACAUUGGUCAUCAUGAGUGAAGUCUUGAGCCACUGAGCCACUACCACCUUGUGCCAAAUACUAUCUGUGCCCUGCCUGCCAACCAGGAUGACAACCCUUCACCUGCCAGGUGGAGAGAGACAGCAGCAGGCUAACUAGUUGUCUGUUAAGAACAUCCAGAGCAGGACCAGAAUCUGGGCCAGGAACUGAGAGACAGAUUGGGACAACGGAACAAAUCUACCAGGGUAUGCUGGCCAACUUAGUCUUCUAUUAUGAUCAAGGAAGGAUGGCGCCUGAGAGGUCAUUACUAUGUGACUGGUCUUCAUAUAUUGCUUCUAUGUUUGAUUCUUCCUCCAGAAAUGUUUCAAUAGCAAACUCAAUGAGUUUACGUAGCCAGAAUCUUAGUCAAUAACCUACUCUGCAGUAUCUUAGGGCUGACUUUGUACAUAUGGAAGUCAGCCAGAUCUCAUGAGUGGAUCAUUAAGCUAGAAUUAUUUUCUUGGCACACGUUACAGUAAGGUAAUAUAUGACCUAGGCCUAAGGCAGGCCAUCAACCUGUCAAGAGUAAUGACCCCCAGGGGUAAGGCCUUGCUGUCUCCACCUCAAGGAUGGGUCUUCAAAGUGGAGACAAUAUAGUCCCUAUGGUUUCUACAUGCUUAAUGAGUCUGUUAUGUGAAUUAUAAAGAUAAUAUCUAUGGGGACUUUGAGCUCCUACAAUAAAAAUGUAUAAAUAUAAUCCAAGAAAUUCUGGUAGACAAACAUUGUAAUAAUGCAUAUCAGUCUUUGUAUCUCCAUUUAGUUUUUUUAAAACUUGGCUUGUGUCCAGAAGUAUGCACAGAUAUACAUAGCAAAUGCUCAGUGCUGAAUGUUUAGCUAAAUCCUGUGCUUCAAAGCAAGGAUGAAUAGAUUUUCAUCAGAGCUCAGGACCUGAACUGUAGGCUUCCCUCACAAUGAGAAGUAAAGCUAAGUAUAGGUGAAUCCUGAGUGGCACAUAUUCUAUGAGAGUUUUAUACAUAAUUUGAAUGAUUGAUAUGCUGCAUCUUUCAUUGAAAUGAUUGUCAACCAAUAUUAUUUCAAGUGUUAUUUCCAUGCUAUUUCUAGUUCUGUAUGUUUUACGUAAUUAUAAAUGGCUUCAUAUUUUCAUGUAACAUUGUAUGAUAUGAUUUGGGUUCUAACAGGUUAUCCUUGACACCAGUAUAGAAUACCCAGAAUUAAUUUAAGGUAUAUUAUCAAACCACUAAAAUUAGGAUGUCCAUGAAUUCUGAAGGAGAAAAUAUCAUUUAGAUUGUGUGUGUGUGUGUGUGUGUGUGCGCGUGUGUGUGUGUCCUCUAAGUUUUAAACAUGAGGUGGUUAUAUAAAGGGGACUUCUAAAUUGGGAGAGGAUGAAAAUGGGCUAAAUAUUUCAAACAAACUUCAGUGUGAAAUCAGUAGUAUAUUCAGUAGAGGUGACAGGGAAAAAAGCUGUGGAGGAGAAAAGAGAACAAGAAAAUCAGGAAGCAGUAAAAAUGAUGACUGAGGUCAGGUGGUAAUGGUAACAUCAAGAAACUUGAAUCUGAUGGAAAAAAACCACGGGUAGCUAUAAAAGGGGCAUUCGAAAUAGGAAAUGAUGUGAGAGGAGAAGAUAAUUUUAGUAUAGUUAAAGGAGGUAGCAGCUAUAGGUGUGAAGAGAACGGAUUAAUUUUAAAUGUGUCCCAGAAGUAAGAGAAAUAUUUUUUUGAGGAGUGGGGGAGGAACAAUGAGAUAAACCUGGUUGAGUGUUUUAUGGUUAUCUCAAGUAAGAGUCCACUUGGAGUAUUAUGUCCAUUUUUGGACACCAUACUUUCAUAGGCAUGUUGAUGAACCAGGUCAUUCAAGACACCAGGGUAGUGAGAAGUGUGUUAAUAGUGCUUCUACCAGAGAGUUAGAGUGACAUGGCAGCUGUCCUCAUAUCUAUCGAUCUGUCAUAAGGAAGAAAGAUCACAUGCCUCUGCAUUGUUUAAAAGAAAGAAACAGACCCAAAGAAAGUCAGGAGGCAGAUUUUGCUCAAUAUAAUGAUCUAACAAUUAGAUGUGCCCUGUAACAGAGUGCGCUAUUGUAAAGUAAUGUUCUCCCAUCUUUCCAAGUAUUCAAGCAGAGAAUAGUCAAUAAUACAACUAACGACUGGAAGGGUUUCUUUUAUUCUAAGGUACUAUCAGAUGGAGGAACAUGUAGUUUGUGGUCAGUGACCUCAGGUUCUCACAUUCACGGUGCUGCAUCCUGGUUUUCAUUUGGGGACUGUUUUCUGGCACUCCCGCCUGUCUGGAGGUGAGAUAUGCUUGUUAUGACAACCCUUCUGUCACAAUAAAUUGGCUGGUGCAUUCAGUGUCAUCUAUGGCUUUUUACUUCUAUUAAUUCAUUAAUUCCGGGCCCCCAAGCGAAAGUUUCCAAAGGCCUUUUUUCUUCUUUGUUAAUUAUAACAUGAUAUCAAUCAGCACCCAAGCAGAAACUAGAAGAGUAUUCAAACUAGGUAAUUUGAGGAGAGUUUAAUAAAGCAACAGCUUACAAAGAUGUGGACAGUGGCUUAAGGAAGCCACUAAAGGAUGGCACAGUCCUCCAGGCUUGUGAUCAGGGGAGUCAUUACCAUCCCCCAGCCUGAAGAUCAAGAGGCUGGAGCUAUUUCCAGACCCUGAAGAGGGUGGUUGUAUGGAGAGGACUAUCUGAAAGAAGAGGCUGUAGCCAACACAAGAAAGCCAGGGAAUAAAUAAUCCAUCCUCACUCUCCUGCUGUUGCCUCUCAAUGGCCAAACCCAACCAUGAGCUGGGCAUGAAGGGAGCUAGCUGACAGCUAUAUGGCUCAGCUUCCUGGGGCCCAGAGCAGAGUGGAGCUGAGAAGAGAGUGAAUCUGGAGGGGUUAAUGGAAGAAACCACAGAAAGCAAAUUCCUCCCUGAGAUACAGUUGGUGCUUAGGCAAUAUUUGUACUGACAGGAAUGUGGCCACAUAUUUUGGAAAAGCUCAGGGACUCAAUCCUCUGCUAGCUGCUUUGAGGCCAUGUCUGCCGAAGUCACUGUCCUCUACAGGGUUUUUUCCUCAUGUUCAGUGUUUAGUCCUUUCCACCUUCACGAAAACGAUGCCUACUUAAUAUACAGAAAGGAGGACAUACAGAAAUUUUUCAUCUUAAUUGGAUAUUACAGUUGCCCCACUUUGGAGCCAAGAAGAGCUGAAUAAAGCUGAGAAACACCUAAACAGAAAGGAGCUCUGGAGGGAAGCAUUAGAUAUGGCUCUUAACCUCAGGGGGCUUACAGUCCAAUCAGGAGACCCAAUGCAAAUGGAACAAUGAAUCAAGAUACUAUCUAACAGGACUAGACCAUGCCAGUAAGUGCUGUAGGAGUUUAAAGAUGAAGUAGCUCUUUGAGGCUGCAGUAGUCUGUUGAUGGUGCUUCUCUCAGGAGGUCCCAGGAGGGGUGACUGUUCUUUCUGGAACAUGGUCAUGGGAAAAUCCCUCAUACCUACUUUAAGCCAGUAAAAGAGAAUGUCCAGAAAGGCCAGGUAUUUGGAAUUGGACCUAAGUGACAGGCUUCAUAUACAAAUAUGCAUUGGUUUACGGACAAUUGUAUAGUUUUUUUCUUCACUGCCACCUAAACCAUCAUUAUCAGCACUUGAGUCCUCUGUGACCAUCACUGCUGUCCAUGGGCAGUAUGCACAAGUGGAACAAAGCCAACGCCUCAACUGUGAGACAGUUUGUCUCUUAGGGUUAGGGAAGAUGAGGGCUAAGGGUGGAGGGAGAAGGUACAGCAUGGCGAAGCUCAUCAUAGAUCCCUUGGAACACUAUUCCUACUGAUUUGUUACUCCCUUUUCUCCCUCCAUGCUUUGUCUUUCCCUGUUACACACACACUGUUAUUCUUCAUCUGUCCGCAGCCCAGUCAUUGGAACUUGGAUGUAAGUGGCUUCUACAACCAAGUGAGGCAGAGAAAUGGGCAGCAGUGAUGACUCUAUAAAGACUUUUGUCCUUUCAUUCAUUCAAGGUGGUGUACAACCCAAAGAUGAACACAUGACCCUUGUCCUCAAGCAGCUCAAUCUGUGAAAACUAUCAUAUGAGUUAAUGUGGUAACAGAAGCAUGCGCACAAAGUACUCUGGAACAACAGGCAGGGACCAUUUAGACCUGCUGCAGUGUGUGUGUCUGUGUCUGUUUAUCUAUGUAUUAUAUGCAGGCAGAUUGUGAAAAAAGACAAGUUUCACAGAGGAGAUGAUACAUGAUCUUUUCUAAUUCACUGAAGCAUACAGCUAUCAAAGGCCUGAGGACUCUUGAAAGAUGAGCAAAAUUUCAUCAUGCAGAGAAGGGAAGUGUAAAGACAGGAAACAGCAUGUGAAAGGCAUUCUAUUCUAUUUAAAUCUAGGAAUACUGUCUUUAGGAUGUUCUUGGCUGAUUAAAUCAGAUGCAUCAUCAUAUUAUACUAUCAUGAUUUACCAAUACUGGUUAUUGCCUAGAUUUUAUCCAUGGACUCUCCAUUGGCAUCAUUAGUGAUGAGAGCUGGAAGCUUGAGCACACCCUGCCAUAAAGUUGUUUGUAACAGAAGACAUAGUUUGUACUUUGUUUUCUCUGUUUCAGUUUUGGUUUCCACCUCUAAUUUGAUAUAUACCAGUUAUUAAUCUGGUUGAUUUGCUACAAAUGAAAAGUUUAAAAAAUUAAUGACAAUCUAUACAAAACUCACAUAAAACCAUUUGAGUCUCCCACUAGAUGGCACAGGAAGAAUAUGGCAUAUCACCUAAUUCUCAGGCUAGGCUAGAUAGAAAAUGUCUAUUCCUAUGAUCACAUGACUCUGACUACUUUCUCUUAAAAGUAAAUAUAAAUAACAUCUCUGUAAUUUUAUUUUUUCUUUAACAAUAAUUUAUCUUAAAGUAGACAGAAAAAUGCAUGUGGUUUAAAAUUCAUAGUAAAUAGGAGAAUAUUAUAAAAGUUUCUUAAGGCCAGGUGCAGUGGCUCAUGCCUGUAAUCUCAGCACUUUGGGGGUCCGAGGCAGGCGGACCAUGAGGUCAGGAGAUUGAGACCAUCCUGGGCAACAUGGUGAAACCUUGUCUCUACUAAAACUACAAAAAUUAGCUGGGCGUGGUAUGCUCCUGUAGUCCCAGCUACUUGGGAGGCUGAGGGAGGAGAAUCGCUUGAACCCGGGAGGUGGAGGUUGCAGUGAGCCGAGGUCGUGCCACUGCACUCCAGCCUGGCAACAGAGUGAGACUCUGUCUCAAAAAAAAAAGUUUCUCAAACCAUUUUUAACAGAUUAAAACAAUUCUUUUUUUAUCAAACUAUUUUUUUCAUUAAUUCUUAGUAGUCAAUAGUUCUGUUAUUGUGACCCUGGAAGACAAGGCACUGUCAUCUGUCUCCUACAGAUUUUAGAGCAAUUAAAAGUGAAGCAAUCCAUAUUCAUUGAUUAAGAGGGAACUAUCAUGUAACCUGGGUAAGUCAGUCCAUAUCACUUUAAGAACGCUAAACAGUAUUGCUCAAGGUUAAAAAAAAAAAAAAAGGAGAGAGAGAGAGAUCUAACACCAUUCUUUAACGCCUGGCCACUAAACUAAUGACCAUCAAUGACAGAACCUGCUUAAUCCCCAUAUAAUUAUCCAAUAUAUUGAAUCCUAAUUUUUUUUGCUCUUCACCCCAACCUUGCCCAAGUGCCAGUGUAGCUCUACUUUAAGAAUAUCAAUAGAAUGUGAUUUUUCACAAGCUGCCAUAAGUAAAUGGUGGUAAGCCAGAGUUAUAAUCUGAAAAUGCAGCUAGUUUUUUGGGGGGCACAUUAGGACUCAAACUUCCUAAAACUCCUACUCCUGAGUUACCUGGAGAAAAGCUACAGCAGAUGGGCAUCCAGUGCUUGGAAGGGCUGCUUGGUCCUCAAUACAGGGCCCAGUAAAUAUAUCUUUCAAUUAAACUCCAACCUUUGAUGUAACUGGUAUCGUGGUGCCACAAGGAUUCUGUUCAAUAUAUAUUUACUGAAUACCUUCUUUGUGCAACACUCUGUGCUGGACCCUGGGCUAGCUUAAACAACCUGAUUUGAUUCAUGGUGGGCAGCAGAUAAGAAGGCAGAAUUAGUUCACCCUCAUAAUGGUCUUUUACUGCAGCAAUGGCCAAUAAACCACCGAGUUUGCAACACCAGAACCCUAAGGGCACACUUAGCUUGAAUCAGAGUGUCUCCUGGCAAUCAUAACUGAUAUUCAAUCAGAGUUCCCACUGAGUAUAGAUGUACUACUUGACUCCAUUCCAAUAAGUGCAGCAAGCUGGAGCAGAAAAACUAAUCUUUGCUGGGUCUCUCAACGCAUGAUUUUUCCUACAUUGUGCAACCCUUAUAUGCCUUUCGUCAUUCAUUCCUAUCAGAAUCUCCUAGAGUGCUUAUUUUAAUGCAGAUUCCCAGGCCCAAUGUAGAUCACUGUAUCACAUCUCUGUGAUACAGGAGGCCAUAGUGAAAACACAAAUGAACCUGUUGCCAGCCAUCCAUGAGACCACCACGGAUGCCCCACACAUCGCCAGGGUGAUUUGAGGGCCUCAAGAUGUGAGUUCCUUAGCAUGGUUGGGGGCCAGAGACGCCACAGUUUGAGCUUUGGCAUUAAUGUGCUCUUCCUUUCUGUUGCUUAUCUUAGGUAGGAACCAGUUGACAAGUGUCCUCUCCCAGCACAAGGAACUGACUCUGGGCACUGAGUAUAGAUUUUACUUAAAAAAAUGUACAAUUUUACUUACAGAAAGUUACUCAGCUGGGAUGUUUCACUUCAUCAUUAAGGUUUUCUUGUUUUCUUCCUUCCUUCCCUUCCUUCCUUCCUUCCGUCCUUCCUUCCUUCCUUCUUUCCUCCCCUCUCCCUCCCUCCCUCUCUCUUCUUUCUUUUUCUUUCUUUCUUUCUCUUUCCUUCUUCUUUUUCUUUCUUCUUUCCUUUCUUUCUUCCUUCCUCCCUCCCUCCCUGCUUGCUUGCUUUCUUUCUCUCUCUCUCUUUCUUUCUUUCUUUUUUUUGUAAGAAACAGGGGUCUCUCUCCCCAGGCUGGAGUGAAGUGGCACACAAUCAUAGCUCACUGUGGCCUCAAACUCCUGGACUCAAGAGAUCUUCAUGCAGUCUUCCCAGUAACUGGGAUUACAGGCACGUGCUACUGCACCCAGCUUUCACCGUAUAAGUUAAUUGUUAACUUCACAUAAGUUUUAAUACCUGCAAAAAUUAUGUGACUCUUCCAGAUUCCAAUCUUUUCUAAUUUGCUAAAGCAUACAGCCAUCAGAAGUCAACAUGCAGAGAAGCACUAACACGGAGUCUCUGCAUGUCUUGAUAAAUGUUGCUUUGAUGCAGAAUUCAGUUUGGGCAACUUGUGUAGAAGGAUGGUCAGAAAGUAAUUUUCUGUUUGUUGGGGUGUGUGUCUGUGUGUGUGUGUGUAUGUAUGUAUGUAUGUAUGUAUAUGUAUAUGUGUAUGUAAAGAACACAGGUUCUGCAAUUAGUCCAGUGUUGUUGUUCUGGGAAUUUAAAUGUUUUCAUUCUCAAAGCAGUUCUGCUGAGUAGAAAUUUUCACGUUACCCCAUUAUACAGACUGAAAACCUGAAGCUUGAGUAGUUUGCCCAAGGUCACAUAGCAAGGAAGAUCACAAGGCAAAGGAAGAUCUUGAACCCUCUAAAGUUCACGAUGUUUCCAUUAUGUCAUGCUUGUAAAAAACAUGAAAAGAAAUGUUUAUAAUAAAAGAUAUUAAGUGAUAAAACUUCCUUAACAAUUUUCUCCUUUGCAAUAUCAGAAACCUCCAGCAGGCUGUACCCCUGAAUCAGUUUUCUAAUUGAAGCCAUUAAACAAUGAUUU
RNAcentral lists this long non-coding RNA (8298 nucleotides) under Homo sapiens (human). RNAcentral's name for it is "long non-coding RNA NONHSAT186093.1". The record is from RNAcentral. Lineage: Eukaryota; Metazoa; Chordata; Mammalia; Primates; Hominidae.